AGUUGACUGGAGGGCAGAUGCUGCUUGGAGGUUGCUGAGUGUUAGCUGGAGGCGAGGAGCUGCCUGAAUAUGAAUUUGUUUUCACACUCGCUGGUGAGCAAGAAAGGUUCUCCCAUCACCUGGCAGAGGCAGCUGUGCUCUGCUCCUUCUCCUCAGCUGCAGCUCGCUGGCACGUUUUCCAGAUGCCUUCUUCAGUCAGUGACCACCAUUUUGUUUCUAAUGCCUCUGGUCAGCCUGAGCUCCUUGAAGCCAUCUUGCUGUAAGUGACUGUAGCAUUCUGCGAUGGGGCUGUGCAUGUCCUGGCUUGUUACCACAUGCAGCGAAGAGAAAGUGGCAAGUUUAUGCCUAUUGCCUCUUGACCUGUUACCAGGGAGCACUGAGCAGAGCCUGGCUCCGUCCUCUCUGCACUCUCCCUUCAGUGUCAUUGCAUGGUAGCAGAGCUCCUACCCCUCUGGAAUUGCCACUGUGUUGCUGCUUCAGGCAUAUCAUGGUUCCAGAAAGUAAAAUCCAUGCUAGUUUCCCUCUAGCCCUGCUGUCGUUUCCUGGGAAACAGUUACCCCAUAUGUAUCUGCCUACUAUGUCAGGCACAAGUAGAAACUUAAAACAUUCCAGUCGUCGUUCCCUUGUGUAUCUGGGGCAAAAAUACACUCAAUUAACUUUAAUGCUGUAAUUCUCAAGAAAACACUCCAUGUUAGGUCAUGAACGUGAUCUCAAUGAACACCAAUUAGUUGCUUUGUGGCAGUAAAUCUGGAUGACAAAUCAUUGCACGGAGGAAGUGUCUACAAAGCUUAAAUCUGGAAACUUGGAAAGGCCGUAUUUGAAAGUCAUCCUGUUACUCAUAUUUCAAGGAAGUCUGUGUAAUCUGGCUUUUCCUAAUGGUAGUACUCUGGAAUAACUUCCUGAGGCAAGCUGUUUGUAGCAGACUCCCAGCAGUUCUAUGACUGUGGAACUGUGAACAAUGCCAGGAGAGAAAGUUGGUUAAUAAGUUACAGUGCCCUCGGCUUAGGUUAUUGUGAGUGACCUGGAUCAUGGUGUGUGCUGUACAAUGUAGUAGUUCGUAGUGUCUUGUUCUGAGUGCCUACUUUGAAGUACACUGGAUAUAUGCAGUCAGAAGCCAAUGGGAAACCAGCAGCUCUUGUAUAUUACUGCAGAAAAGUAAAUAGCAAACUUUCAGAGUUCACAGGCUGUUUUAUUGCUUGUUUUUUCUCCAGGGUUUUGGAAUUUGAUCAGUACAAUUGGCUGACAGAGGAGCUAAUUAGAGGUCACAGAGGGCAUGAGACUGGCAACUGUCAUCCUAUUAAGGGAACAAACUUGUGUCUGUAUUCUUUUGUCUUGCACGAGAGUACAGGGAGCAAAUGAUGAUGAAGGCAGGCUGAUAUUGCUACUUGCAGAUUUCCUGCCCUUUUCCCCCUUUCCUUGGUCAGUGAAUUCCUACCAGAGAAAGGUCAAUUUCCUGUGCAGUGUCUCUAUUUUUUCAGCCCCACCCUAAGUAGGCAGUGAAUUUUGACAGGAUACUGCUGCUUAAUAUUUAUGCAAAUAGUUUUAUCUUUGGAACAAUGUGUAAAGGCUCUCUGCUUACUUACACU
Gallus gallus (chicken) is the source of this 1586-nucleotide long non-coding RNA. The record is from Ensembl. NCBI's taxonomy places the organism in Eukaryota, Metazoa, Chordata, Aves, Galliformes, Phasianidae.